AUACGUAGGUGGCGAGCGUUAUCCGGAAUCAUUGGGCGUAAAGGGUGCGUAGGCGGCAGAUUAAGUUUGUGGUGAAAGAGCAAGGCUCAACCUUGUUAAGCCACAAAAACUGGUCAGCUAGAGUGCAGUAGAGGCAAGUGGAAUUCCAUGUGUAGCGGUAAAAUGUGUAGAUAUAUGGAGGAACACCGGUGGCGAAGGCGGCUUGCUGGGCUGUAACUGACGCUGAGGCACGAAAGCGUGGGGAGC
Molecule: ribosomal RNA, 246 nt
Filed under: uncultured bacterium
Lineage: Bacteria
Description: partial 16S ribosomal RNA
Rfam family: Bacterial small subunit ribosomal RNA
Source: RNAcentral